UUGCGCAAGUGAUAGAUUUGUCGGCAAUCUUCGCAAUCCUCUGUCGCGCCUGGGCAUGUAAGCUUUACCUCAGUUUCACGGCCCGGACGACCUGUCCACCCGGCUCACCCAACCAGGCGAGCGGGCGCCGCCGAUCCCACCGGAUCGUCACGGCACCCGGGUCCGCACUGCCCAACCAGGCGGGCGAGGAAAGCGGCGAGAGCAUCGCCGGCACCGGACACUUUUCCCGAGGGGAGGCCGCAAGGUCUCCCU
Molecule: small RNA, 252 nt
Filed under: Pseudomonas benzenivorans
Lineage: Bacteria; Pseudomonadati; Pseudomonadota; Gammaproteobacteria; Pseudomonadales; Pseudomonadaceae
Description: Pseudomonas sRNA P24
Rfam family: Pseudomonas sRNA P24
About the family: P24 is conserved across several Pseudomonas species and in Azotobacter vinelandii.
Source: Rfam by way of RNAcentral